This 521-nucleotide ribosomal RNA is filed under the name Placetron wosnessenskii. Its description in RNAcentral is "partial 16S ribosomal RNA". It matches the Rfam family "Bacterial large subunit ribosomal RNA", at positions 1834 to 2604 of the family's 2925-position model. Lineage: Eukaryota; Metazoa; Arthropoda; Malacostraca; Decapoda; Hapalogastridae. The record is from RNAcentral.
UAUAUGAAGGUGCAUAUAGUUUAGCCUGCUCACUGAUUAAAUUAAAGAGCCGCAGUAUUUUGACUGUGCGAAGGUAGCAUAAUAAAUUGUCUUUUAAAUAAAGGCUUGAAUGAAAGGUUGGACAAAGUAUCAUCUGUUUCUUAAAUAUUUAUUGAAUUUGACUUUUAAGUGAAAAGGCUUAAAUAAAUCAAAAAGACGAUAAGACCCUAUAAAUCUUUACAAUAAAUAUAUUUUAUAUUUUAAUUUAUAUGUUUAUAAAAAAUAAAAAUAUAACUUUGUUGCGCUGGGGCGGCGUAGAUAUAUAAAUAAACUGUCUAUAGUUUAAAUACAAUAAUUAUUGCUUAAUAUAAAUUGAUCCUUAAAUAGAUUAAAAGAUUAAGAUACUUUAGGGAUAACAGCGUUAUUUUUUUUGAGAGUUCUUAUCGAAGAAAAAGUUUGCGACCUCGAUGUUGAAUUAAAGUAUCUUUAUGGUGUAGCCGCUAUAAGAGAGAGUCUGUUCGACUUUUAAUACUUUACGUGAU